GAAUAUGGGGGGACCAUCCUCCAAGGCUAAAUACUCCUGACUGACCGAUAGUGAACCAGUACCGUGAGGGAAAGGCGAAAAGAACCCCGGCGAGGGGAGUGAAAAAGAACCUGAAACCGUGUACGUACAAGCAGUGGGAGCCCCACCACCAAAGCAUUCUCUGGUGUUGAAGGCCCUGCAAAGCAGCAUCGCGGUGGCGGAGCGUCGUUUGCGACGCCCAACACAAAAAACAAGCGGUGAGUGCUUUGGGGUGGGGUGACUGCGUACCUUUUGUAUAAUGGGUCAGCGACUUAUAUUCUGUAGCAAGGUUAACCGAAUAGGGGAGCCGUAGGGAAACCGAGUCUUAACUGGGCGUUAAGUUGCAGGGUAUAGACCCGAAACCCGGUGAUCUAGCCAUGGGCAGGUUGAAGGUUGGGUAACACUAACUGGAGGACCGAACCGACUAAUGUUGAAAAAUUAGCGGAUGACCUGUGGCUGG
RNAcentral lists this ribosomal RNA (478 nucleotides) under Salmonella enterica subsp. enterica. RNAcentral describes it as "bacterial LSU rRNA". It matches the Rfam family "Bacterial large subunit ribosomal RNA", at positions 440 to 818 of the family's 2925-position model. The record is from RNAcentral. Lineage: Bacteria; Pseudomonadati; Pseudomonadota; Gammaproteobacteria; Enterobacterales; Enterobacteriaceae.